UGUUGGCUUGGAAACCGGGAAAGGGAAUAACAAUCAAAAUGUAAAUAACAAAUACCCAAGUUAAUAAAGAUGAAAAAAAGAAAAAAAAAAGAAGGCACAGGAGAUAGCCCCAGGAAAUAAAGCCAUCCAGGCAGAACUGCUUAAAGUCAAACAAAUGAUAAAGGCACAGAAAGAUAAAGAGAAGGCAGUGUAUGCAAAAAUGUUUGCUUAAUAAGGAUUAAAGUUUCCUUAACUAUUAUACAUUGAUUAUAUAAAGGAGCAUGUAUAUUACUGUCUACACAAUCCCUGAUGUGUUUCCCUUGAUCUUUGUCAUUGUUUAUAUAGCAGUGCUGACAUCCGCUCCUUCUUAAUAAAGUUACGAAUUACAGUAAAAAAAAAAAAAGAAUACUGAUUAUCCACUGGACCUGAGUUCAUUUUCCACCAUCCCAUCAAAGGGUCACAUGGAACCUCCUGUUGUUCCAGCUCCAUGGAAUUAGAUGCCCUCUUCUGGAUUCUACAGGAUUUUAUCCAACAUCCCCAUCCAACAUCUGAGUGAAACAGAUGCAGAGAUCCAGAGCCUAACAUUGGAUGGAACUUGGGGACUCUUAUGGAUGGACAAGAGUCUCCUCAGUCCAGCAUCUCAAUCAUGGCUAUUGUUCUUGCUCUGAUUUUUGGAGCUCUGCUUACAGGAGCAGUGGAGAGUUUUCUGAUAUGGAAGUAGAGGACGAAAACGGACUCUCCCUGUAUGUUGUACUCCAUCCUCAGGAAGUGGACAUCCCUGCCUCUUCUGUUUCUUGUAUCUCCAAGGAAUUGAGAUCUGUCUUCGGUACUGAGUAUGAGUCUGCUGUCUCUCUCCUCAGGUUGUUCCGAGUUUCUGAAAGCAACAGGCAUAUGUCUUUUUUUUUAUUUUUAAAAAUGUAUAUUUAUGAUUGGGGCCCCUGAGCACUUAGAAUCUUUUUUUUAAAUUUUUUUUUAUUAACUUGAGUAUUUCUUAUAUACAUUUCGAGUGUUAUUCCCUUUCCCGGUUUCCGGGCAAACAUCCCCCUCCCCCCUCCCCUUCCUUAUGGGUGUUCCCCUCCCAACCCUCCCCCCAUUGCCGCCCUCCCCCCCACAGUCUAGUUCAUUGGGGGUUCAGUCUUAGCAGGACCCAGGGCUUCCCCUUCCACUGGUGCUCUUACUAGGAUAUUCAUUGCUACCUAUGAGGUCAGAGUCCAGGGUCAGUCCAUGUAUAGUCUUUAGGUAGUGGCUUAGUCCCUGGAAGCUCUGGUUGCUUUGUUGUACAUAUGGGGUCUCGAGCCCCUUCAAGCUCUUCCAGUUCUUUCUCUGAUUCCUUCAGCGGGGGUCCUAUUCUCAGUUCAGUGGUUUGCUGCUGGCAUUCGCCUCUGUAUUUGCUGUAUUCUGGCUGUGUCUCUCAGGAGCGAUCUACAUCCGGCUCCUGUCAGUCUGCACUUCUUUGCUUCAUCCAUCUUGUCUAAUUGGGUGGCUGUAUAUGUGGCAUAUGUCUUUAAUUGACCCACAAAGCCACCUACUCUUGAUCAGAAGCAUCUCCAUGGUGGUAUCAUCAACAGAAGUUUUAGGGUCAAACCUUGUUUUCUGACACCUGUAAUAAGCUAAGCUAUGCCAAAACAAAAAGGCAACUAAGUAGACAAAUAUAGUGAAAGGCAGGAAAAGGACUUUAUUAAAUGUGGGCAAAUUUGGAAGAGAGGCAAACUAAUUAAGGGACUCUCUCUUGCUCUCCAGGUUAUUCUUUAGGAUUCUGACAUGAGUUUCAAGUUUAAAUAUAGAACUUGGGAGUCUCAUAUUCUCCUUCUAAUUGUUCAUUGUAUUUUAUUUUACAUUACUAUUAAACUGCUAAAAAAUCCAGGGAUUCCUGGACAUCAAUUACCUCUUCUGAUGGCAGUGACCUAAUUAGUCCCAGAUUAUACUCUGAAGAUUCUCUCAGACUGCACCUUUGUAUCCUCCCACAUCACUGGUCUCUCAUCCUUGAACUUCUUACUUCCAUAUCCCUUUCAGGUGCCUGCAUUAUUGUUGUGUGCUGUUACUCACAAGCAUUCUGUAAAGUUUUAAAGUAUGUCUAUUUAUGCAGAACCAUAAGAAAAUGCAUACAUUUAACAAGUGACAUAUAUAGAUAGGAAGUGUACAAUUACUGUGUGAAUUUUAUAUUGAGGCAGGAUCUCAUACACUUAAGGAUGGUCUUUACCUCAUGGUAUUUAUGCCUCUUCUUUUGAUAGGUUGGACUAGAGGCAUGAAUUGACUAUGUGCUGUUUCAAUAUGUUAAUCAUGUAAAAUAAAAUACAAUGAACAAUUAAAAGGGGGAGAAUAUAAGACUCCUGAGUUCUAAGGUUCUAAGUUCUAAGUCCUAAGAGGAAUAUCAAAUGUCGGAGAAGCACUGAAAGAAAUGUUCAAAUUGCUUAUUCAUUAUGGAAAUGCAAUCAAAACAACUCUAAGGUUCCGUAUUACACACCCACUAGAAUGGCUAAGGUCAAAACCUCAAGAGACAGAUCAUUCUCAAGAGGAUGUACUCCCUCAUUGCUGGUGGGAGCACCAACUUGUACAACCACUUUGGAAAUCAAUUUGGCAGUUUCUCAGAAAACUGGGAAUAGUUGUACCUUAAGACCCAGCCACAUCAGUCCUAGGCAUAUACUCAAAAGAUUCUCCAACAUACCACCGAACCACUUGCUCUACUAUGUUCAUAGAAGCUUUGUUCAUAAUAACCAGAAACUGGAAACAACCUAGAUGUCCCUCAACUGAAGAAUGGAUAAAGAAGAUGGGACCCUAUACCUCUCUUGGGCAUAUACCCAAAAGAUGCCUCAACAUAUAAAAGAGACACGUGCUCCACUAUGUUCAUCGCAGCCUUAUUUAUAAUAGCCAGAAACUGGAAAGAACCCAGAUGCCCUUCAACAGAGGAAUGGAUACAGAAAAUGUGGUACAUCUACACAAUGGAAUAUUACUCAGCUAUCAAAAACAACGAGUUUAUGAAAUUCGUAGGCAAAUGGUUGGAACUGGAAAAUAUCAUCCUGAGUGAGCUAACCCAAUCACAGAAAGACAUACAUGGUAUGCACUCAUUGAUAAGUGGCUAUUAGCCCAAAUGCUUGAAUUACCCUAGAUCCCUAGA
Non-coding RNA from Rattus norvegicus (Norway rat), 3094 nucleotides. NCBI's taxonomy places the organism in Eukaryota, Metazoa, Chordata, Mammalia, Rodentia, Muridae. The record is from RefSeq and is a predicted model, not a curated record.